UGUCUACUACUGUGCUGCCCAGGACGGCCGGGCUGGUCAGCACCCCGACGCCCCGCUGGACGGCCAUGGAACAUCAUCCCUUCGUUUGUGCUGAUGGACAUCCAGGCUUCCACAGUUGUGGCUUAUGUAUACCAACUAAUUGAGGGUGAUGUGAAAGUAGAAAGAAUUGACUUCAAGAAGUACUGAAUGACGCUCAAACCUGCCCGUUGGCUUCUCCCCGCCUUGCAUUCCUUCUCUGUCCGGUGAAGUCGAAGGGGAGGCGGGCCACGGGGGGGUGCUGCUGCUGCGGCGUGCCGGGCUGUAGAGCAGCCGCAUCGCUCUAUUGCUCGUGAGCUUGUGAGAAAACGUUAGUCUUGGUUCCCAACGCGCAGGUGAAGCAGAAGAGACUGCUGAUUAAGAGGCCUGUGGAAAAUACCCUGUGUCUAAGGAGGAGCUGCUGUCUUCCUGGCCUAAGGGAGUCACAGCGGGUGGUGGUAGCUUGGCACCGAAGCUCUUCUGUAAGACAACGGACAUAGAAUAAUAAACUCCUUUCUUUGGG
Molecule: long non-coding RNA, 538 nt
Organism: Aquila chrysaetos chrysaetos
Lineage: Eukaryota; Metazoa; Chordata; Aves; Accipitriformes; Accipitridae
Exons: 2
Source: RefSeq, a predicted model, not a curated record